RNAcentral lists this unclassified non-coding RNA (378 nucleotides) under plant metagenome. RNAcentral describes it as "partial contains 5.8S ribosomal RNA, internal transcribed spacer 2, and large subunit ribosomal RNA". The stretch from base 1 to 105 matches the Rfam family "5.8S ribosomal RNA", at positions 50 to 154 of the family's 154-position model. The record is from RNAcentral.
GAAAUGCGAUAAGUAAUGUGAAUUGCAGAAUUCAGUGAAUCAUUGAAUCUUUGAACGCACCUUGCGCUCCUUGGUAUUCCUUGGAGCAUGCCUGUUUGAGUAUCAUGAAAUCUUCAAAGUAAAUCUUUUGUUAACUCAAUUGGUUUCUACUUUGGUAUUGGAGGUCUUUGCAGCUUCACACCUGCUCCUCUUUGUUCAUUAGCUGGAUCUCAGUGUUAUGCUUGGUUCCACUCGGCGUGAUAAGUUAUCUAUCGCUGAGGACACUGUAAAAGGUGGCCAAGGUAAAUGCAGAUGAACCGCUUCUAAUAGUCCAUUGACUUGGACAAUACUUUUAUGAUCUGAUCUCAAAUCAGGUAGGACUACCCACUGAACUUAAGC